UAAAAAUUUUUGUAGUUUGAAAAAUUUAUUUAAAGUUUAUUUUACAUAUAAAUUUUAGUGUUAAUAUUUAUUUAUUUAAAUAAUAAAUUUUUAUUUUUGUUAGUAAUUAAUAUUAAAAUAUUUAAGAAAUUAAUAUUUAGUAAUAUUUAAAUUAAUAACUAAUUUUGUGCCAGCAGUUGCGGUUAAACAAAGAUUAAAUUAAAUUUUAUUAGUAAAUUAAUUAAUAAAAUAAUAAAAUAAUAUAAAUUUUAAAUUAUUAGGUGAAAUUUUAAUUUAAUAAAAAAUUAUUUAUUUUUAUGAUUUAAUAAAUUUUUUUUAAAAACUAGGAUUAGAUACCCUAUUAUUAAAAUUUUAAAUUUAAAUACUAAAAUAGUAGUUAAUUAUUUAUUGAAACUUAAACAAUUUGGCGGUAUUUUAGUUCAUUUAGAGGAAUCUGUUUAAUAAUUGAUAAUCCACGAAUAAAUUUACUUAAUUUUUAAUUUUGUAUAUCGUUGUUAAAAAAAUAUUUUUUAAUAAAAGUAAUAUUUAAAAAUUAUAAAUAAAAUUAAAUCAGAUCAAGAUGCAGAUUAUAAUUAAGAAUAUAAUGGAUUACAAUAAAUUUAUUUAAGUGAAUAUUAAUUUGGAAAAAUUAAUUGAAAUUGGAUUUAAAUGUAAUUUUAUUUAAUUUAAUAAAAUGAUUUUAAAUUGAAAUAUGUACAUAUUGCCCGUCGCUUUCAUAUAUUUAUAAGUUGAAAUAAGUCGUAACAAAGUAGAGGUACUGGAAAGUGUUUCUAGAAAGAA
RNAcentral lists this non-coding RNA (780 nucleotides) under Grammodes geometrica. The record is from RNAcentral. Lineage: Eukaryota; Metazoa; Arthropoda; Insecta; Lepidoptera; Erebidae.